AUCCAGCUGACGAAUUCUAAAUAGAACGAAAUGCUCGUCCUGUAC
RNAcentral lists this non-coding RNA (45 nucleotides) under Schistosoma mattheei. The record is from RNAcentral. Lineage: Eukaryota; Metazoa; Platyhelminthes; Trematoda; Strigeidida; Schistosomatidae.